GGGCCCGCACAAGCGGUGGAGUAUGUGGUUUAAUUCGAUGCAACGCGAAGAACCUUACCAGGGUUUGACAUCCUGCGAAUCUCUUGGAAACGAGAGAGUGCCUUCGGGAGCGCAGUGACAGGUGGUGCAUGGCUGUCGUCAGCUCGUGUCGUGAGAUGUUGGGUUAAGUCCCGCAACGAGCGCAACCCACGUCUUUAGUUGCCAGCAUUUAGUUGGGCACUCUAGAGAGACCGCCGGUGAUAAACCGGAGGAAGGUGUGGAUGACGUCAAGUCAUCAUGCCCCUUACAUCCUGGGCUACACACGUGCUACAAUGGUAUCUACAACAGGAAGCAAAACGGCAACGUUAAG
RNAcentral lists this ribosomal RNA (349 nucleotides) under uncultured bacterium. RNAcentral's name for it is "bacterial SSU rRNA". It matches the Rfam family "Bacterial small subunit ribosomal RNA", at positions 917 to 1267 of the family's 1533-position model. The record is from RNAcentral.